This 335-nucleotide long non-coding RNA is filed under the name Homo sapiens (human). RNAcentral describes it as "HSALNT0281987". Lineage: Eukaryota; Metazoa; Chordata; Mammalia; Primates; Hominidae. The record is from RNAcentral.
GAGGCCGGCCUCGGACACGUAGCGGGUGCUGCCGCUGAUCAGGUUCAAGGAGUACAUGUGCAAGUUUUCAAGUUUUUUACCUGGUUAAUCACAAACAUCUAUAACUACCAAACACAGCUUCUGAACAGCAUUGAGUGUUUGUCAUUCUACCCUGAAAUAAUGUGAUUACAACAGAAGCAAGGAGUCGGAUCAGUAUCAUAGUCUGGAAGCUGUGCCUGCCCAAUCCUGCCUCCUCUCUGUUUUCCACACGGACAUUUACCCCUCAAUAAACUGCUUGCAUUUUUGAUUCCAUCUCAGUUUCUGUUUCCUGGAGGACCCAACUGGCACACUAAACU